AGUGAUCAGUGAGGUACUAAUCAGAGGAGUCUCGAGAAGUGCUGCUGGCUCCAGCACGCCUGCCAUCACUAAUGAUAAUACAAGACACUUCAAGUGGGACGUCCGCUGCGGCAGGAUGGUGAUGGCGCCCAGGGCAGCCUCCUCUUGGUCCCUUACCGGGUGAAUCUUUGCUCCCCACGAGUCGCUGCCCACCCACAGGAACUGGCCCGCCUUGCCCGCCUUCACCGCCGCCGCCAGCAGCCGCCUGGAGGAGGGGGAGCAGGGAAAGAAGAGGGUUGCUUCCCGCGUCAGGAGGCAACCAGUGCAGCAGCGUCUUCAGGCGGAGGCGCUUCUCGCUCCCUUGACUCUUCCUCUUCUUCUCCUGUUGAUGAUGUUCUCCAGGGACUGUAUCACCUCAUCUCAUCUCCCUUACGUGGAGGAGGAGACGAUCCGGAGACAGUCAGCCAAUCAGCUUCUACGCCACAAUGCCAGGCUUCUCUUCUCGCGGCUCCAAGCAUCCCUCCUCCAUCCCUCCCCUGCCGGUCUGCGGCUUAAUACCUCCCAGACAUCAACACCUGAGGCUGAGAUGAACGUAAGGAAAACCGCAAGAUUCUGAACCACCAUGUUGAAAACUAAUGUUUUUUUUUAGAUUCCUGUGUUUACGUGCGUUGUGCAUCUCGCGCACCAACGCCUCACCUGGGUCAGUGCGGGCUGAGGCUCAGGGCGUCAGAGUUCGGGUGUGUCUUCCCGAGCUGCAGCGAAGUGCAUCCGAUGUGCGACUUCACCUUUAGCACACUUGACUGGAAGGCGUCCGGCAAGGGCUGCUAUGAAAAUGUAACUGUAUGCAGAUUAACGACUCUUGACCGACUGACGAAGCUUCCCCCUUACCUGCCGGCACAGACCAAGGGCUGAGAGGAAGGAAGGAAAAGAUCAUUCCGUUCGUAAUUGUGAGCCUCAGGUAAAGGUUGUCUGUAAUUCCUUCCGCACGCUUCUGUGCUCGACAGCAAGAUAACCCCGUGGCGGAACAAGGUGUGCCGGUGGAACUUGCUGCCUUUGCCGGUAAAGAGUGAAGCCGAGGAGCACGUGAGUGUGCCAGUGGAGAAACAAACUCCUUCAUGGAAACAAGAUGAGGUGGACCGGAGCGAAGGAAAUUCUCUAACCUUCGUUAACAAGUUUACAGGCCCUGUUUUCAAAGUAUCUGGCCACAACGAGUCGGAGGCGGCGAGCAGACGGCGCGAGCUUUGGGCUUGGAGCAGCCAGGGUGGUCUGCUGGAUGACGUGGCGCUGCACAUUACUAGCAAGACUACGGGCGAAAAUUACUCGAAAAUUAAAAGGCAGACAGAUUCGCACCCCCGCACCAUCCCCCUUCCCCCCGUGCCAUCUGCCGUCUAUGUUCCCCAGCUUGCCACCACUGCUGAGUUUUUUCCCUCAUGGAAACCCAAACCCUUCCAUGUACUCGUUUUCUCCCUCCACGCUUCAUCUAGAUCCAUAUAAGCUGCUUACGACCUUCCCAGCACCUUCCCUGCCUCCUCAGCCUCACCCCCUAAUGAGCUUGAUGAGGAGCUGGUUCUACACCACCGUGCCUCACUCCGCCUCACAAUAUGAGCAUGAAUAACGACGCGCCUGUUUUGCCCGGCCACUGAGGUACAGGAAGGAGCCUCCACGCACACCUGCCCUGCUGAGGAAGUCCCGCCGCUACAUUAGAGACGUGUCAGUGGAUGAGUAAUGAACGCUGGUCUUCCUCCUGUUGGUGUUGUGGCUCGUGGUUGAAUGGAAAGUUUGAUCAACGAGGAUUUUAGUGACGAGCAGAGAAUGAUGAUGAAUGGUGAUUUAUCAAAACAUUUUUCUUGGGAUGUGCUUUGAGCUCCAUUGUUUUGGUCACUGUUCUGGCGCGGAGAAUCUAAACUGUGUGCAUGACUUACUUGUGUUUUGCUUCUUGACCCGUCAUUGGCCUUCUCAAGCUUACCUACAGUCGCACCUCCGCACUGGACGUGAGCGUGGUCAGGGUGAAGAAGGAUGCAGGAAGAGACGUGUUUCCCAAGAGGUGGCUGUAAUCAUGCAGUCGGCAACACUGUGCUCCGUAAAUCAGCAGGAUAAACAAUACAUUCUCAUUACUAAUAUAAGUGUUGGUAAUAGAAUAAUAAUAAUAAUAAUAAUAAUAAUAAUAAUAAUAAUAAUCUUCAUCCCCAAUAUCGUCC
Molecule: long non-coding RNA, 2177 nt
Organism: Scylla paramamosain (green mud crab)
Lineage: Eukaryota; Metazoa; Arthropoda; Malacostraca; Decapoda; Portunidae
Exons: 5
Source: RefSeq, a predicted model, not a curated record